This 292-nucleotide ribosomal RNA is filed under the name uncultured prokaryote. RNAcentral describes it as "partial 16S ribosomal RNA". It matches the Rfam family "Bacterial small subunit ribosomal RNA", at positions 505 to 796 of the family's 1533-position model. The record is from RNAcentral.
GUGUCAGCCUCCUCGGUAAUACUGAGGGUUCGAUCGUUAAUCGGAAUUACUGGGCGUAAAGCGCAUGCAGGCGGUCUGUUAAGUCAGAUGUGAAAGCCCGGGGCUUAACCUCGGAAUUGCAUUUGAAACUGGCAGGCUAGAGUCUUGUAGAGGGGGGUAGAAUUUCAGGUGUAGCGGUGAAAUGCGUAGAGAUCUGAAGGAAUACCAGUGGCGAAGGCGGCCCCCUGGACAAAGACUGACACUCAGAUGCGAAAGCGUGGGGAGCAAACAGGAUUAGAAACCCUCGUAGUCC